Molecule: long non-coding RNA, 1575 nt
Organism: Equus caballus (horse)
Lineage: Eukaryota; Metazoa; Chordata; Mammalia; Perissodactyla; Equidae
Source: Ensembl
GGCAAUAUUACACAGGGUUGCUUGGCAGGAAUAUUUCUAGUGAAAUGAUUAAAACUCUACAGGUAAAGUUCCGUGUGUGGCAUUCACGCAGCACUCCACUCUGAAGUGGUUGUCAUACACACGUGAGUGAGAGAAGCCAGCAGAGGGGAAGGGAGAGCCAGGCCCGGCCCGCUCCGCCCCCUGAAUCACGGAAGUGCUAACGUGACUCUUCUCCCAGGAAGUCGCAGCUGGGCUGAAGUCUUUUUUCCUCUUCUUUUCCUUUUUUCUUCUACCCCUUCAACUCAUGUCCUAGUCCAUGAUGAGAAAGGAAAGGAAACGGGGUGAAGGUGAGCCCAUCCCAAGCUGCACGGAGUUGACAAAAGGCAGGGAGGUGCUGCCGUGCCCAGCUCCAACAGCACUGAAGCCCGGAUUUUUGGCUCACUUUUCGCAAGUGCCAUGUGUACCAAUAAAAAGAGAGUUCUGCAGGAAAUGAGGUGUGACGCAGGCCAGCUUCACCAGUCUCUCGGACCAAGAAAUAAGAAUUUAAAUAUGAAAUACUAAAAUUUAACACAUGACUGAAACAAAAUAAAUGGUGUAGCACUAAAAGCAUUUGAGGUAACACCGUCACAGGUUCCAGGGACGAGUAUGUGGACAUCUUUGCGGGGCCAUUAUUCUGCCUACCACACAAAGCAACGAAAAAUACACGUGCAGUCAAGACAGAACGUCCACAGGUGUGGGGAGGAAACGCACAGGAAUACGUGGAGCGGGACUUCACCUUGUUGUGGUGAAACAGCACUGGGCGCUGACUCCUGGACUCUGAGUUUUAGUUUCCUCGCCUAUAAAAACAGAGCGGCUAGACUGGAGGCUUCCAAACCAUGCUCCCCCAAGCCCUUGCGUUUCUUCAAGAUUGCUCCAGGGCCACUGCAGAGAGGAGGCCCAGCAAGCAGAACCUGGACCCUCCCUGAGAUGCUCAUCCCAAUGACUAGAGCCUCCGUGACGAUGGCAUUGGAGGGUGUGGCUUUGCACACCAAAGAAUGCAGCACUCUCACCACGCCUUCAGUGUGCCCUAAAGAGGGAACAGAGUACCUGCGCACUUCAGCUCCAACCGCCUGGUGGAGAAGGAGGCUUGUUAGCUGCUGACAGUCCUGAGCCUCCUCACUGGCCGCACAUGGCUCGCACGCAGGACCCUCACGGUCAGACCUGGCCUCACAGCCCUGCACAGUGCACGAGGAGACCAAAGCUAACAAGGUCUUGGUAAAAACCAUUCCAGUGCCAUGUGGCCACCAAGAAUGAACCCUGGACUAGAAUGCAGCUUCCUUCAUGUGCAAAGUUUCUCCCAUAGAGCUGGAGAGCAUCCUCUCUAUUCUAGAACCGUGCUGUCCAAUGUGGUAACCACUAACCCUGUGUGCCUGUCGAGUGCUGGAAAUGUGGCUGGUCUGGUUUGUGACAUGCUGUUAAGUGUAAAAUACACACUGGAAUUUGGAAGACUUGAUAUGAGAAAAGAAUGUAAAAUAUCUCAAUAGGUUUUACAUGGAUUACACAUUGACAUGAUAAAAUUUUGGACAGAUUGAGUAAAUAAAAAUGUAUCAGAAUUAA